GUCAAGCUUCAUUUUAAAUUACUUUCUAAUUUUUAAAACUGCUCCUUUUUUGAACGCUAAGAGUAGACAUACAGUAUUUAUACAGUGAACUAUCGAUAUAAUUUUUUGCAGAGAUUACAAGAAUAUCCAAACAGCUAAUUAUCACACAAUAUCAGUAAAUCUCGGUAUUCAGCGGCACUACCUUUAAGGUGACACUCACACUUUAAUUGUGACUUAAAGUCAAGCUUCAUUUUAAAAUACUUUCUAAUUUUUAAAACUGUUCUUUUUUUGAACGCUAAGAGUAGACAUACAGUAUUUAUGCAGUGGACCAUCGAUAUAAUAUUUUGCAGAAAUUACAAGAAUAUCCAAACAGUUAAUUAUCACACAAUAUCAAUAAGUCUCGGUAUUCAGCUGCGCUACCUUUAAGGUAGCAUUCACACUGCAGGUAUAUUAGCAUUUGACUGAAUACAAGUUUGCAGCAAACAUGUUGCAACUUCUAUAUAUAUUUUUAGAUUUGAGUUCAAUACAUGUUUAAUAUAUGUAAUCAUGGCAGUCGCGUUUCAUUAUGAUGCUAAUGAAAUAUCACAAUAUUUCGUACGAUACGUACAAAAGAGUUUGUCAAAGUUUUUUGCGGUAAGUAUAGGAAUACUUUCGCCACCAACUGUAGACGUUAGCUGCAAUCACAAAUUUACCUACUUCAUAAACACUAUGUUGCGAAACGUUACAGAAAUCAGUGGCACGUAGAUGUCGUAAAAUGAUAUUAGGUGCAGCGUCUCACUUUACAGCUCCUUCGAUCGUUUUCGACCGGUGGAUUAACGAUUUCGAAAAGCGAACGCGAGACGUAGGCCACACGUGCUCGAUAUUUGCAUCAACUACAUCGAUUUACCAUACUUGCCUUAAAAAUUCACCACGUAUGAACUUCUAAAGGAACAUCGAACAAUUUUGAAUAACUUGAGACUUCGAGUUCGUUCUAUUUAUAAUCUAUAAAACAGAAGAGUCGUUUUGAAAAAUUCGACGAAUAUUUUGAGAAUGACGUCUAUGAAUAAUCUUCGGUGUGUAGAAGAAAGCGAGAGUGUUAUUUUUGUGAGAGAAAUGUCAGAGUAAUGUAGUGUAAAAAUAAAAGAACAGGUCGUCGAUAGAAACGAUCAACGGGAAUAAUAGUGCACCAUAAAUCGAGUACGCCGCAACGACCAAUGGGAAAUGAUCAUGCAAUUGCCAGGAGACUGAAGUGCAUGUGCAUCACGCGGUGAUGCAUUGAGAGCGAGGUCGUUGAAGUGUCGAUCAACAGACACGAAACUGGCUCAACGUGAGCCGUUUUAAUGGCUCACUUUUUAUCUUCUUGCCCGUUUGUUAGAAAAAUCGACAAUCGAAGAAGCGACAAUUGAAUCGUGCACGAUCUUGACAAAAUUUGAAAGGCUUGGUACAAAUAACAUGCAGCUACGUGCGUGAAACUGAACUUUCUAAAUGCGUAUGUUAAAUAUUUUUAAAAGAGACUGUAACAGUUUCAUUCCAACAAACGUUUAACUCUUAGAACGUGUAGAUUAUUUUAAAAGAAUCUAACAAAAAUGUUUUAUUUUAAAACCGAUAAUUCUUAUUCGCCUGAAAUAAUAAAACUAUUCUGUCAUUGGCAGAAUUUACUAGAUCGAAUAAUGUGGAAAUUACUUUGAUUAAACAUAUCAUGUUCUAGAGAACCUACAUGAAUUAGAAAGAUGAUAUAAAAAUUAUUUAUUAUGUGAAACUGUGAAGAUUCAGUUACACGUAUGUCAUUUUGUAAAAUCUAUGUUCUAUUAAAAUUUUGUUAGAAGAAAGCGACAUUUCAUAUGCAUUGACCUAAUACAUAUUACAUAUAGAACAAGAAGCUUCACAAGACAGUUCCAAACUUCCUCGUUUGCUCAUAAAAUUAAGUAAUAUGAUAAACCUAUUAUUACCCAUACUGAUCUCAAGAAAUAGCUGGAAUUCUAAAUACCGUGCCAACAAGAUCAACGACACGUCAUGAAUAACAAAUCCGCCUAUUCAUUUCCUUCGGGGAAGGAAACGCCUCGCAAUAGAAUAGGAAUGUAGUGUACAGCUACGUCCGAAGGAAAUCGAGAACGCUCUUCCAUCCGUUGCUCACGGCUCAAUGUCAGCUCGACAGAAAAUAGUUGAGGAAGCGAUAUAUAUAUAUUACGAUCGAUUUCCAAGCUGGAACGAAGAUAAUUCGAUUAGAAGCUGUGUCGACCGUGACCAGGUUUACCGGGUGUGUUAUAAUUGCCGAUCGCAUUAUCGAGUGUCAGAAAAUCUACGAAUGGCGGUGAUUCGCAUGUCUCGGCAGAGACGCUAACUCGAUUUGCUUCGAGGACGAAUCACAUUGUAAUUAUCAUGGAGAAAAGCUGAUUUGGAGCAGCUUUCUUUGCAUGCGGAGGAUAAUCGAAUUUCGUUCGGAUCGAGCCUCUUUGCAAUAGUGAGAAAGUGUUGUAGUGGCGAAUUCAUAAUAACAGUGGUAAUUGAAGAUAACAUACUUGUGAUACUUUGGGUGUCGCGAAAUUUCAAUUAAAUUGUUCAUUUCUUGUCUUGAUGGGAGAAGGGCGAUCGAAAAGUACCAAAUUUUUGUGCUCCUUCAGGCAACUAAAAUUUUUAUAUGGCGUCAUACUCCCACAGAUCUAAUUCUAUAUCUAUAGAUUCCUAUAUUCUUAUAUUCUAUAGAUUCAAUAGAUUCUAAGGUAUCAUUGGCAAAUGUGUGUGAUGGGAAAGUCGUAAAAAAUGUAGAUGUAGUGUCCCGAAAGGCGAAGUUUGGAGCUUCGUGACUUCGAACGAUGAUAAUGUAGUAUCGUGAACUAUUAUGAUUAAUUUAUUUACAAUGAGUGGAUUUUAUAGAUGUUGAUUAAACAGGAAACGAUGGCUGUUUAACGUGAACUAAUCACAAUAACGUACUAUAAUUUAGACAACUCAAUAAUUAAUUUGCAACUCUCGUCAUCACGAAUCCAACACUAUCUCGACAACGCAACUCGCACUUUCCGACUUCUCGAUUCGCACUUUCCGACUUCUCGAUUCGCACUUUCUGGCUUCCCCACUGACACUGACUGUUAAUUCGUCUUUCUCCCUUAGCAUCCCUUUAUCUUUUCUGAGGCCCACCACACACGUGUUCCGCAUCUGCUCUUCGCCAGGGUCACGUAGGCCUUUUCUACGAAACUAUUCAAUUGAAGGACCGACGACAUAUUGUUUAUGGUUCACCCAAUAUAUCUUAGGCCUUUCGUCCACGAUACUACAAUAUAGAUUUAAUAGAUUCUAAGGUAUCAUAAGAGUGCAAUCACUUUUGGCAAAUGCGAUGGGAAAGUCGUAAAAAAUGUAGAUGAACUGACAAUGUCUCGAAAGUCGAAGCUUGGAGCUUCGUGACUUCGAACGAUGAUAACUUGAAACUGAAGUGGAAUGCAGAAAUUCAAACGCUAUUUUGUAAAGGAUAGCCUUAAUAUAUAUAUAUCUAUAUAGUAUGUAAAAACAUAUUGCUCAGAUUGUGAAUUGAUAACGGUAACACGAAACAAAUUGAGAUGACAGCUUUUCAAUAAAACGAUCAUCAACGACAAAGUAUACAAUGUAUGGUGUCUUGUUAGAAUUUCAAUUAAUUUGGUACUUAUCGAUCAUCAUUCUCUCUUCGGCUCUGUCUUGAACAAAUGAACUGCAACGUUCACGAAACGUUGAAACGAAGCGCACUAAUCAGAACACGAUCAAAACCUAAGGACUCUCACAUAUGAUCAUCUGAUAGAUGUGCCCGUCUAAUCAUCCUGAAAGUUUAAAACCUAAAAUUAUUAAUUAAAGAUGUUUCUGUUCGAUAUAUCGUAUUGCGGUUAUGCUGUUCCACCAUUUCCCAAGCAAUUUCCAAAUAUUUCUACGUCCAUUGCCAUAAUAACUUCUCCAAGCUACCAAACCAAUCUCCAGACACCUUCAAUCUAAUUUUUCCCCCAGCAGUCGCCAUCGUUCCCCAAUUCUCUAAGGGUCGCAGUUGCCGAUCCACGAGGGUCCAGGACAUUCGUGAUCGAUUAAUUAAACGGCGAGGCAACGGCGUGUCACUCGAGGGUGCCUAAUUAAUCGAGCGGUCUCGAACAGCGCAGCUACACCAUCUUACCGAGUAAAGUACCGAGCAUUGUACCACAGGCAACGGUUAAGGCUAGCCAACAAACGAACGCUUCGUGUCGGUCCAGUCACGGUAGAUCCGUGUCAAAGCGUGACGUUGAUCGAUGGAUCAUCGAUCGAGUGACGCCCCGUUUCCAUUCAGCCUCGGCUGGAUACGAUCGACGGUGACGUAAUCGCGGUGAACGAGCGGUCAACGUUUCCCGAAUCGAGGAACGCGCGUUUCAAACGCGGUUGAUCUCGAUUUCGAUCGAACUGGCGUCAAGGAACGCCUUCGAUCGCAAUUUCAACGUCCGUUUGUCAUCCGGUGUCGAGUCAUGGUCACUGGAUAAUUACUCGUUAUUUCGGAUCUACGGUUCGGAAUCAAGGAUAUGGUAGUUGUAGGGGUUGGUUCACGUCAUUUUGCUCUAUCUGAAGGCUUUUGGAGGAGAAAGGAACGGAAUUUGAAUGAAACUAGUGGAAAGAAUCGUAGAAAGUCGUUACACUACGGUUUCAAAGUACGUAACUGGGUUUUUGGUAAUUUCUGUUUUUCUUUUUUUUUUUACAAAUCUUUAAUUUUCAUUAGGAAAUGAUAUCUAGUAUGGAUUGUAUUGAAUUUUGUUCUUUGUAAUUGAGAGGUUUCCUGGUGAAAGGAUUGCAAGGCAAAAUGGAAGUUUUAAUUUUAGUUUUUUAGUAUCAGGUGUGUUUGAAUUGAUGAAUGACAAAUGGCUCUUAAAGAACUUUGUUCUUCUCACAUUUUUAAAUAAUUAGAGGUCGGUUCGUAUCGUUGGCUUCAAAAAUCGUUGCAAUUAUAAUAUUUGUUAAAUUAUCUUUCGUAGAUCUCAUCUAGCAGCGGAAAAUUUGUUGCAGUGCAAGAUGAAUAAUUUGUCAGCCAUAAGUGUUAAAGUAUACUGGUUACAUUUAACUGGAAACGAUAUAACAUUUCAGAUUACACGGCAUGUUAUGUUGCGACUAAAAUGACUGAUUGAUAGUAGAUUAGUUAGAAAAUUUAAUGUAUAGUGAAUAUCAGUAGAUGUCCUAAUACUUAUGACUGGUAGUAUAUAUAUAUGGUGUCACAUGUUACAUAAGUUAGAUGCCAACUAAACGAACCAUAAUCGAGAAACAAAACCAAUUCUUAUAAAAUCUUCAUCUUAUUAAAUGGUCGAAUCACAUAAUUGACCCAAACCACUGAAAGUAUAUUUAUAAUUGAUUCGUACGAGAAUACAAAAGUAGGGUAGACACAAUACCAUGGAGUUUAGUCGCACUAACAACUUUGAUAGAUCAGAUUUAUAGAGGCGUUUCCAUCGUGAUAUGGUCAGGGUCAAAUUGUUCGAACAACCCAAUGCGUGUCAAUGCCUCGUCUGCAACAUUAUCACGAUCAAAUCAGUGUGUUGGAACUUCAAUCUCUUAUGGGACGCCUGCGUCCUAGUCGUGAGUCAGUCUAAUUCAAUAUCCACAUGGAACGUAGAUCAUUGAAUUCCAAGUUCCUAUAACUAACUAUACAUAUAUAUAUAAUACCUCGACAAUGUUUUGUUGCCUGAACAGGAUGAUAGUGGUUUUACAACCUUCUCUUCAAGGUCCUUCAUAGGCAAGACUUUGGCGUUCCACUUUUUUUCUCAUUCUGUCAGAUAUCUGCGUUAAUUUUUAUAAUAAUUUUUGCUUAUAAAAAUACGGGUAAAUAUGUGUACGUGCGAAAUGUCGAUGAAGAAAUUUGUAUAAUUUGCAUAGUAGUCAAACACAUGUUUGACGCAAGUAUAUCUCUUGGAAUCAAACACUCGCUUAUUAUAAUGACUGAUGAUAAUUUGUACAAUGAAUUGAAAAAAUGCCUCCUGUAAAGUAAACUAAAACAAAGUUCAAUUUUAUCUAUGGAUUAAACGAGACGAAAUUCGUUUUAUUUAUAAAUCGCACGAUACGUCGUACUUGAUUGUUAAAACAGCGUCCAAUAUUUUCUACAAUUGUAUGGAAUGUCGAAUUCAAUCGUGAAAAGGGAUAUUAUGGCGAUUUGAAUUCAAUAAAUUCACGUUGUACAACAUGUUUUCUGCAUCUUCGAUUGUAUUGAAGUACGUGGCCAUGUGAACCAAGUUGUAGAGAACGAAACAGGUAAAAAUUAGUUGGAAUCAAGUUUGGAGAAUACGCUAGGUGUGGCAAUACUUUUUAAGCAAGGUUAAAAAUUCCUUCCUUUCUAACAUUUUCGACAUGGGACCGUGGGUCGACGUGAAGCAAUUUUCGUUUCCUUUCCUGUACACGGUCUUCUGCAUUUCUACUCGUCGUUUAAAAUACCAAGCUGUUAUUUGAAACGAUCAGAACGCAAAUGGAUAAAUUUAAAUGCGCCGAAUAAAUUUUCACGUUUAAGAUAUUCCUGUCGAAAUCAAAGGAAGAUUAAUUCCUACGAUCGUUAUUUAACAUGCAAGGAUACUAUUAUUGUGAAAGGAAGAAAUCUUCUGGCAAAUAAUUUAUUGUUUUAUACUAAAUAAACUAACUAUGAGGUAUUAUAGAUUAAAAUAGAGAAUAGAAUGUUUAUUUGUAUUUCAGACUCACAGCUGUUACAAAGGAGAUUAUUGAUAUCCACUAAAUAUAUCGUACAUAUGUAUAAACGUUCAUACAUACAACCAAUACACGCACAUACACAUUGCGAUAUAUCAACAUAUUUUAUAACACCACAACGUAUUACGAAAUAAUAGUAUUUUAUAGAUAAAACAUUUUGCAAUGAAAAAUCAAAAUCUUUCAAUUUUUGUAUUUUCAUUGUUUUCUACGAACACUCUCCAAUUACUUUAAGCAUAAGAAAGAAAGUUUCGUCUUUGCAAAAUAUAUAGAAAAUUUCAAUAUUUCAUAUAUAUAGCUGUUUUUAAAACUCACAUAAAAGCCACUUUUAACGGAAAAGCGGUCAUUCCAAUAUUUACAGGAAAAUAUGUAUUUACUUCAGUAGAUAGAUCCACUAAAAGGGAAACCAUAAUCCCUAUAACGCGAUGGACGAGAUACGUUAGAGCGCGAUUAGAAACUUGACGUGUAUACGACGAGCGAGCUAGUUAAAAAUCUAAUCGAUAAACACCCGGUGACCUAACUUUCGCGCACUGAAUAAUUAACAGCGUUACAGAUACCAGUGUCUUUGAUUAAAAAAAUCUAAGUCAGCCGUGUAUAGCGUCACUGUGAACAACGCAGUCAAAGUAAAGGACACUUGGCGACACGAUUUAUCGUCAAACAAAAAGUUUAUAAUUAUAGAGUUAUAAUCACGCGUAUAAUAUUUCUGUACAAAAUCCGAUCUUAAUUCCUUCGAAGUCUAACGUUUGUUAAAGACUAACGCAAAGUUUAUAAUGACAAAAUUCCGUUUAUAAAAUAUAUAAAAAAAAAGAACGAAGAAA
Molecule: long non-coding RNA, 7421 nt
Organism: Bombus huntii
Lineage: Eukaryota; Metazoa; Arthropoda; Insecta; Hymenoptera; Apidae
Exons: 3
Source: RefSeq, a predicted model, not a curated record